UAGGCAUCAGAGAAUCGGCUUCCUGUGU
Molecule: non-coding RNA, 28 nt
Filed under: Mus musculus (house mouse)
Lineage: Eukaryota; Metazoa; Chordata; Mammalia; Rodentia; Muridae
Source: RNAcentral